CUCCAGGGUAUGAGGACUGCCUUUCCAUGUCUUCCUCCCUUCCACCAUUAAGUUGGUGGUUGAGAAAUUUCUCAGAAAAGAAUUAAGAAUCUUACAUGGUGGUAGAGCUUUUUUUUUUUUUUUUUCUUUGAAGGUGGGUGGUGGUGGGAAGAGAUGGCAAUCUUCCUGUCUUGGAUCUUGUUUCCUGGGAAACCUCCACAGAGACUACCAGUUGACCGGCCCCCCGGCCAAUCAUCUAAGACUUUCGGACCUACUUCCUGUUCCAGAUCUGGCCAAUCAGCACAUUCCAUUCCCUGGGCCCCAGUGAUAGGCUCAGGGGUGGUCAUGUGACUCAAGACAGUCCAACGGACUCAACACUCCUUGGACUCUGGCUAGAGCAGAGCUCUGUUUCACUGGAGUUGCUGAACUGGUAAGACCUCUGUUGGGAGCUGGUGGUGGGCAUCUUGCCACCCUGAGAGAUGGAUCUGCCUGUAAAUGAAGCCAAUACAAGCAGAACAACGAGGAGAAUAGGGACUGGUUUAAGUUACUCUGCACUGGUCUCCGUGUCUGGACUAGGAGGUAUCUGUUCCCACACCCCCAUCAACACCUCUCUCAGUGAGGGCAUGGAAUAAAGAUGCUGGAAAACAAGAGACAAAGGUUCAUUCUUGGUUUUGUGACACUGCCCGGUCAGGACACUGGUGAAAAAUGGGCUGAACUCACCAGAUACCACUGAACAUUAGAGGGUGUAUCUCCCCUCCCCACCCUCCUGUUUCCCAGAUCUGUUUUUCCUUCCACAAAACGGG
Molecule: long non-coding RNA, 782 nt
Organism: Capra hircus (goat)
Lineage: Eukaryota; Metazoa; Chordata; Mammalia; Artiodactyla; Bovidae
Source: Ensembl